UCCCUGGUGGCUCAGACGGUAAAGCAUCUGCCUACAAUGCAGGAGACCCAGGUUUGAUCCCUGGGCUGGGAA
Molecule: transfer RNA, 72 nt
Filed under: Ovis aries (sheep)
Lineage: Eukaryota; Metazoa; Chordata; Mammalia; Artiodactyla; Bovidae
Rfam family: tRNA
About the family: Transfer RNA (tRNA) molecules are approximately 80 nucleotides in length.
Source: Rfam by way of RNAcentral